This 701-nucleotide ribosomal RNA is filed under the name Hercostomus meieri. RNAcentral's name for it is "SSU rRNA". It matches the Rfam family "Eukaryotic small subunit ribosomal RNA", at positions 540 to 1170 of the family's 1831-position model. The record is from RNAcentral. Lineage: Eukaryota; Metazoa; Arthropoda; Insecta; Diptera; Dolichopodidae.
AGGACCUAUUGGAGGGCAAGUCUGGUGCCAGCAGCCGCGGUAAUUCCAGCUCCAGUAGCGUAUAUUAAAGUUGUUGCGGUUAAAACGUUCGUAGUUGAACUUGUGCUUCAUACGGAUGGUACACCUCUAAAAUAUGGGUUUGUACUUUAUCUUUAAGUAUGUAAGCGUAUUACCGGUGGAGUUCUUAUAUAUUAUGUAAAUUUAUUUUAUAUAAUAUAUUCCUCCUAUAUAAACCUGAUUCAAUGCUCUUUACCGAGUGUUGUUUUGGGCCGGUACAAUUACUUUGAACAAAUUAGAGUGCUUAAAGCAGGCUCUUAAUGCCUGAAUAUUCUGUGCAUGGAAUAAUGGAAUAAGACCUCUGUUCUAAUUUCAUUGGUUUUUAGAUCAAGAGGUAAUGAUUAAUAGAAGCAGUUGGGGGCAUUAGUAUUACGACGCGAGAGGUGAAAUUCUUGGACCGUCGUAAGACUAACUUAAGCGAAAGCAUUUGCCAAAGAUGUUUUCAUUAAUCAAGAACGAAAGUUAGAGGUUCGAAGGCGAUCAGAUACCGCCCUAGUUCUAACCAUAAACGAUGCCAGCCAGCAAUUGGGUGUAGCUACUAUUAUGGCUCUCUCAGUCGCUUCCCGGGAAACCAAAGCUUUUGGGCUCCGGGGGAAGUAUGGUUGCAAAGCUGAAACUUAAAGGAAUUGACGGAAGGGCACCAC